This 1321-nucleotide long non-coding RNA is filed under the name Castor canadensis (American beaver). RNAcentral describes it as "lncRNA (ENSCCNG00000004274.1)". Lineage: Eukaryota; Metazoa; Chordata; Mammalia; Rodentia; Castoridae. The record is from RNAcentral.
AUGUUUCCUGGAAACCAACAUGUCCCACAGACAUGUCUCAUGGAGCUGACCACAUUUCCUCCCCUUGAAUCUCCUUCAGUUCCUUAUAAAGUAAUCCUUCUACACUUAAGCACAGUCAGCUGGAAUCCCUGCAGCGAGGGGGAGAAGGCUGUAGCCUGUGACCUGAACAGUCGAUUACAACAGACUCAACAGAACUGUAUAGCAUAUCCUACGGUUGUGUCUACCGACGAAGGAAGUCAUUUCAUUACAUUCCUGUCUCAGGAAAGUCGGCCACUCGGUAGCAUCCCUGCCUGCCAUGCUGGCCGCUCAGUACUAGCAAGAUGCUCCUGUUGGAAAUAUGACUGAGAACCUCUACCUGACAGUUAUUUCUUCUUUCUUAGUUUCCUGAUUUUAUUUGGUCAACAACAUGCACAGGGAAGGAGUUCCUGUUUCCUGGCUUCAGGGCAAAGUCAUGAUUGGUCUUAAUUCUAACACAUUCCCCAAUGGUGACUGGUUUUGAACUGAGCAUGUGAUGAGUUCUGGCCAAUGAGAUGGAAGAGUCUGGCAGCAGGUAUUUGGGAAAGAUUUUGAAGUCCAGUUAAGAUUAAAUCCAAGAGAGGAAAAGGUUUCCUAUUAACAAGUCCAAGGGUGAAAAACCAACAUGCUGAGAACGGGGUUUAGGACGGUAGGAAAAGGCUACUGACGUCCUUGAGUCACUACAGUUAAAAGAAAUCUUUUUUUUCUAUAGUUUUGUUUUUCUUUGACAGUACUGGGGUUUGAACUUGAAGUCUCUUGCUUUCUAGGCUGGUGCUGUACCACUGGAACCAUGACUCCAACCUGCUAGUAUUUUUUUUUUUUUUUUGGUGGGACUAUGGUUUCAACUCAGGGCUUCGAACUUGCAAAGCAGAAACUCUACCGCUUGAGCCACACCUCCAGUCCAUCUUUUGCUGUGGUUAUUUUGGAGAUAGGAUCUCAUGAACUAUUUGACCAGGCUGGCCUCAAACCGCAAUCCUCCUGAUCUCAGCCUCCCAAGUAGUUAGGAUUAGAGGCAUAAGCCACCAGAGCCCAGCCUACUGUAGAAUUUUUAUAUCAGAUUUUCAAAUGUGUUCUUGCUUAAGGCAGCGUGAGUUAUGCAUUCAUUGCUUGUAACUCCAUGUGUUCCCAAUUGAAACAGAACCUUGUAGAAUUGUUUGAGGGUCAAGAGAGACACUGAGCCCAGAACAGUAGUAAACUCUGGGAAUCCUAGCACCUCGGAGGCAGAGGCAGGAGGAUUGUAGUUCCAGACCAGCCUGGGUUAUAUAGUGAGAUUCUGGAUCCAAAUAAACAAAAUUGCAACAAAACA